This is a long non-coding RNA of Gadus macrocephalus (Pacific cod), 274 nucleotides long. RefSeq lists it as uncharacterized. The transcript has 2 exons. The record is from RefSeq and is a predicted model, not a curated record. NCBI's taxonomy places the organism in Eukaryota, Metazoa, Chordata, Actinopteri, Gadiformes, Gadidae.
UCUAGCUUCACAUCACAAGACAACUGACACACACACACCAAUCAAUAGUACAUUCAAGAUAGAACUUUGACAGGCAUUUUUUGAACGAUGGUGUCAGAUAAGUUGAUUAAGGGAUAGACAUUUCAACGUACUUAAAGGGGAGCAUACCAGUCUUGGUAUAUAGCCUUUAAUAGCAUUGAGUCAAAAACAUUUACCAUGAGGACAUUCUCACCACAAAUGCAAACAAAAGCACUUUGAUCUUUAGGAAUCAAUGUCCAAAUUGCUGCAAACACAA